This 81-nucleotide transfer RNA is filed under the name Rhizoctonia solani. RNAcentral describes it as "tRNA-Arg". It matches the Rfam family "tRNA". Rfam says of the family: Transfer RNA (tRNA) molecules are approximately 80 nucleotides in length. Lineage: Eukaryota; Fungi; Basidiomycota; Agaricomycetes; Cantharellales; Ceratobasidiaceae. The record is from RNAcentral. RNAcentral also lists the same sequence under 1 other name.
GGCCGCCUGGCGAAAUGGUAUCGCGUCUGACUACGAUCUGUACCAAUCAGGAGAUUGCAGGUUCGAGCCCUGCGGUGGUCA